Homalodisca vitripennis (glassy-winged sharpshooter) is the source of this 756-nucleotide long non-coding RNA. RefSeq lists it as uncharacterized. The record is from RefSeq and is a predicted model, not a curated record. The transcript is spliced from 3 exons. Lineage: Eukaryota; Metazoa; Arthropoda; Insecta; Hemiptera; Cicadellidae.
GUUUUGGUCAGUUCCGUUUCAUUUCGUUGCCUUGAUUAUAGUUUCAAUUCUAACGAUUGAAAUAUGGAACUUUUAAAUCCAUCAUUCGAUUAGCAUAAACGAAUUGUGGGUUGAAGUUUUAUAGCUAUGCACAUUUACAUGAUCAAUGUAGUUUUAUGUUAUUUUCGUAUGGUGAACGUUUGACUUACAUUUACAAUGGGAUAUUGUUUUUUAAUGUAUAGUUGAGGUUAUCCCUACUGUGGUACAAUCACAGAGGGAAGUUUUCAAACUCAUUGCAGCUUUAUUAGCCUAGUUGAGAUGGAAAAAGAAGAUGGAAUCAGCCAGAAUUUAACCGCAAACAACACAAUAUCUUUAGAGGACUGAAGAGGAAUACAAAGAAAGAUGGAACUCUAUCCGUGUCAUGUACUUCACCAUGUUCCUGAUGGCCUUAGGGUUCAGCGUGGUGUUGACUGGGGUUUGGCCCUAUCUGGACGAGCUGGAUCCCUCGGCUGGCAAGGGAGUUCAUGGGUUACGUUGUGGCAGCUAACCCUCUAAGCUCAGAUGGUAUUAUUCUCGCCUUUGGUGGGCUGGUGGGGCAACCGGCGGGGCUCGGUCCGCCUGCCUCUAGUCAUGUCGCUGCUUCUCUUCACGGGGGCCAGUGCAGCAUACUCUAUGCUGGAGGCUGUCCCUUCGCACAGGAAGUACUGGAUGCUCCUGUCACGCUUCUUCAUCGGGUCAGUUCUGGUAAGUGUAGUCGUUAAGAACAAAACAGGCUAA